This 736-nucleotide long non-coding RNA is filed under the name Arachis ipaensis. Its description in RNAcentral is "long non-coding RNA (AIPA_LNC002010)". Lineage: Eukaryota; Viridiplantae; Streptophyta; Magnoliopsida; Fabales; Fabaceae. The record is from RNAcentral.
AAAUGGCAGCUUCCUUUUCUAAUGAUAUAAUUUCCGUGCUAUAUUUUUUUUCAUUUAUCACGAAUUAAUUUGAUAAAUUAAUAACCAAUUCAAAUUGAUUAAUUUUCAUGAUAUAUAAAUAUAGGUUAAAACGCCAAUUCCAUGUACUCACUUGCCAAACGCAAAACCCAUCAAUAUACCUACAAAAUUCACAUUUCAAUUUCACAGCACUUCAAUAUUAUAUUGCAAGAAUAAGAACUCCGCUUAAGAAAGCUAAAACAUGGCUCUGUUGUCUGGUUUACUUUCAUGCUGUGCUGCCUCAUCAGUUCAAGUCUCUGACCAACUUGAAGCUUCUAAAGUGAUCAAAUCACCACCAAAAGAGGAAAAAUCAAAGAGCAUAUCAUCAUCAAAAGUUCCAAAGGGAGCACCAAUUAUGGUUUCUUACUUCCCAGUCAACUCUUAUCCCUCGCGCUUGUAAGUAUUCAACAGCAAAUACAAAGCGAUGUUGAUGACAGCUUCUUAUCUUGCUCGGUUUUGGUGAAGUUGUGAGACCAUAGUUAUUUUUUUUAUUGACGACAAUAUACUAGCUAUUAACAUUUGAGAUCCCUUACUGAAUAUGGUUCUUCCAACAGUUAUAUUUUCGUACCCAUAAUGUAAUUGAAAUACACAAAUGUAAUAAAGAAUUUGUUCAAUUCUUUUAUUGAAUUAAGUCCCAAAAUAUCUCUUAAUUUUUCACUCGAAUAAUAAAUUGGUCCCU